RNAcentral lists this ribosomal RNA (115 nucleotides) under Massilia antarctica subsp. insulae. RNAcentral describes it as "partial 16S ribosomal RNA". It matches the Rfam family "Bacterial small subunit ribosomal RNA", at positions 1419 to 1533 of the family's 1533-position model. The record is from RNAcentral. Lineage: Bacteria; Pseudomonadati; Pseudomonadota; Betaproteobacteria; Burkholderiales; Oxalobacteraceae.
ACCAGAAGUAGGUAGCUUAACCGCAAGGGGGGCGCUUACCACGGUAGGAUUCGUGACUGGGGUGAAGUCGUAACAAGGUAGCCGUAUCGGAAGGUGCGGCUGGAUCACCUCCUUU